GGAAAAAAGUUGAAACAGAGUUGGGAACCAAAAUGGUUCACUUGAAGAUGAGAUGCUGUAGCAUUGGUUCUGAAUGGGGAAAGGUUUCAUUGCUUGGUACCUCCGGGCUUGCGGGUUCCUACAUUGAAUACAGAGCUUGAUUGGGAGACACUCUCGGCAUCGUCAAUUUCUUCUACUUGGUCAUCGUGGAUGCUACGGUAUAGCCCUUGUAUGAAUGCAAUUCCUGUUUUCAAUAAUUUGGUGAAUUCGAUCAGCUCAAUUUCUGAGUGUACUAUUUACUGGGUAACAAGCUUUUGUAGAAUCAUGAUGUCUACUGGCCACCAUGACUAGGAUGGUACUGGAUUUGGCUGUUUGUUUCGUGAAAUUG
RNAcentral lists this unclassified non-coding RNA (367 nucleotides) under Hevea brasiliensis (rubber tree). The record is from RNAcentral. Lineage: Eukaryota; Viridiplantae; Streptophyta; Magnoliopsida; Malpighiales; Euphorbiaceae.